GAGCGCUUGCAUGGCAUGCAAGAGGUCAGCGGUUCGAUCCCGCUUAGCUCCACCA
This 55-nucleotide transfer RNA is filed under the name Providencia alcalifaciens 205/92. Its description in RNAcentral is "tRNA-Ala". It matches the Rfam family "tRNA", at positions 21 to 71 of the family's 71-position model. From Rfam's summary of the family: Transfer RNA (tRNA) molecules are approximately 80 nucleotides in length. Their secondary structure includes four short double-helical elements and three loops (D, anti-codon, and T loops). Further hydrogen bonds mediate the characteristic L-shaped molecular structure. tRNAs have two regions of fundamental functional importance: the anti-codon, which is responsible for specific mRNA codon recognition, and the 3' end, to which the tRNAs corresponding amino acid is attached (by aminoacyl-tRNA synthetases). tRNAs cope with the degeneracy of the genetic code in two manners: having more than one tRNA (with a specific anti-codon) for a particular amino acid; and 'wobble' base-pairing, i.e. permitting non-standard base-pairing at the 3rd anti-codon position. Lineage: Bacteria; Pseudomonadati; Pseudomonadota; Gammaproteobacteria; Enterobacterales; Morganellaceae. The record is from RNAcentral.